AGUGAACGCUGGCGGUAGGCCUAACACAUGCAAGUCGAACGGCAGCACAGGAGAGCUUGCUCUCUGGGUGGCGAGUGGCGGACGGGUGAGGAAUACAUCGGAAUCUACUCUGUCGUGGGGGAUAACGUAGUGAAACUUACGCUAAUACCGCAUACGACCUACGGGUGAAAGCAGGGGACCUUCGGGCCUUGCACGAUUGAAUGAGCCGAUGUCGGAUUAGCUAGUUGGCGGGGUAAAGGCCCACCAAGGCGACGAUCCGUAGCUGGUCUGAGAGGAUGAUCAGCCACACUGGAACUGAGACACGGUCCAGACUCCUACGGGAGGCAGCAGUGGGGAAUAUUGGACAAUGGGCGCAAGCCUGAUCCAGCCAUACCGCGUGGGUGAAGAAGGCCUUCGGGUUGUAAAGCCCUUUUGUUGGGAAAGAAAUCCAGCUGGCUAAUACCUGGUUGGGAUGACGGUACCCAAAGAAUAAGCACCGGCUAACUUCGUGCCAGCCGCCGCCGUAA
This 506-nucleotide ribosomal RNA is filed under the name uncultured bacterium. RNAcentral's name for it is "partial 16S ribosomal RNA". It matches the Rfam family "Bacterial small subunit ribosomal RNA", at positions 29 to 523 of the family's 1533-position model. The record is from RNAcentral.